Molecule: long non-coding RNA, 2789 nt
Filed under: Ananas comosus (pineapple)
Lineage: Eukaryota; Viridiplantae; Streptophyta; Magnoliopsida; Poales; Bromeliaceae
Description: long non-coding RNA (ACOM_LNC018025)
Source: RNAcentral
AAAUGUUAUUUAUAGCAUUUAAAACUUCUAGAAAUCAAAUUUUAUAAUUUUUCGACAUCAUUUACCUUACGAUCAAGAGGUCACAAAUUUGACAAUUUUUAAUGGCCGGUAUGGGAUACUUGCUAUUUUAACGGUGUAAAAGAAUCGAAAUUUGUUGAAUUUUGAUACAAAAUUUUAUUCGCUAUCUAGAUAAAGAUCAAUAACUCUGAUCUUGAAUUGAAGGAUUCGAUCAUCCUUUUUUAGGACGUCGUUCGAUUUUGACUGUUUAUUUUAUGCUCGUUUGAUGGACUUUAUUAUGAUUUCGAAAAUUUACGAAAUUUAUUUUCUAGAAGUUUCAAAUACUCUAGAUCAUAUUUAACGGAGUGGAUCGUCGAUUUGGAAGCUUCAUCAUAAAAAACAAUUUAGAAGUACGAGAGCUCCAAUACUCAUAAUAGUAUAGUAGCCACGGCCUAUAUAGGGUCCGACUACUAUACUAUUAUGAGUACGAUCUGCCACAGCCCGCGACCACCCGCCUAUUUGGCUGAGGUCCCGGAGCCGCCGACAUCGCCGAAUGGACAGGGUUUCUCCUGUACUACGGACAGAGUCUCCCCUGUACAUUCAAGGCAUCGCAACCAAUACAAUUCACGAAGGUUCCAACCAGAAACAGAUAUCAAUCAAGAUUGCAAGUGGAAGGUAUCAUACAACAUAAACACAUCCUAAGUUAUUACAUUCAUUCACUUUCAUAGUUUUUAUAUUAUAGUUUCCAUUCUUUUUCAUCCAAAUGCAAUCUAAGUUAUUACAACAUUUACUUACUACAAGUUUGAUACAUUGUAUUCUUUUCAUUUCCUUUACCCCUAAGCUAUAUAGACGGGAUACUGCUAGCUCUGGUCUCUGGGGUAGGGCGCUAUCUGCAGAACUACGCCCUCGCCUUGCGCCGCCGCGCUGCACAUGUGUGUACCUGUACCCUCAAAACAGCAACACGGGGGUGAGACUAUUGUCCAUAGUCCUAAGUGGGUUUAGUCACCCAAGAGAACCAGCUCAACCAACAGGUCUAACGAGGCACUGCAACAUGUUAGUUCAACAAUAUACAACAGAUAUAUAUUCAAUUGAAAUACAUGUCAUGCCUCACGAAAUGCAAGAUGCAAUACCUGUAAUCAUGUAAGUAGGGUACUUUAACGCUACUUAUAUUCUUAAUCAUUCUUUACCCUUGUCAUUUAAUGUUUACUUUUAGCUCUUAGCUAUUCUUUACUUGUAACCUUUCUUUACUUUAUCAGCUAUUCUUAUUCCUUAGCCGAUCUUUAUUCUUUACUUAUUCUUUAUUCUUUACUUAUUCUUUAUUCUUUAUACUUUGUUGCACUUUUCCACUGGCCAUUCUUUCCAAAGGUUUCUCUUACCUUAGUUCUCUAUGCCAUUCGAUUCGGUCUUAAGUCAAUCAAUCGCGGAUAGUCCGCGCACUGUCUAGCUCGAGGUGAAGGAACUCACAUGCACCUCAGCUGGCAACAGCUCACCGUACUCCUGUCCUAGUCGUCUGGCGGCGAACGAAUCGCACCUCACCCAACAACGGCCUAGGUCCAUGACUUAGCCACCCGGCGGCGAAAUCGUCGCACAAACGCCAUGACAGUGGUUCAGUCAACAGGCGGUAGGAUUCACAAACUGGCUAACCAUCCGGCGGCGAAAUCGUCGCACACACCAUGACAGAGGUUCUUUAGCCCUUGGGCGGCGAAAUCGUCGCACACACCCAACACCACUUUGGGUGUAUCCUUUUAGCCUUGGGAUUCCGGAAUCCAUUUCACAUCACAUAGGGGUUGGUCUUAACCCUAUGGAACUGACCUCUCUAGGUCUAAGCUUUUACUCAACCUAAGUUCACCCAUUAGGUUUAUUGCUUUCACCUUCUUAACCUAGGUUUAUUAUAUUAGGAUCAUUAUUCUUUCCAACCUAGGUUCACUUGACUCUAGGUUAAGUACUUUUCAUUUCACGACCUAUAUUUAUUAACACUAGGUUGGAUGCCACUCGAUCUAUUUGAUUUUAGAUCUACUCCUGACCUAUGUUCCUUAACACUAAGUUAGAUGCCACUCGAUCUAAUUCACAUACUAAUUGUCCAAUUAAGCAUUCUACUUAUUCUAGAGUUAUCAAUUCUCAUUUUCCAAUGUUAUCUCUCUAAUCAAGCUAGAGUUAUCAACCAAGUUCAUAUGCAUAUAUAAUCUCACAAUGCUAAGCAUGCAUCUAUGAUCUCACAAUGCUAAUCACGCGUUUAUAAUCUCAUAUAUCAUUUAUAUGCAUCUACUUAGCAUUUACAUCAUUCUAUAAACAUGCAUCAUAUAACUUGCUCAUUAUGCAUUCUAGCAUUUCUACAUUACAUUAUUUAGCAUUAUAUAACUUGCUCAUAAUGCAUUCUAUUUAGCAUUUACAUCAUACUAUCAACAUGCAUUAUUUAGCUACAUGCAUCAUUUACAUGCUUCAUUUACAUUUAUAUGCAUCAACAUGGAUUCUUAGUUUCUUAGACAUAAAGGCGAGCCUAGUCACUUUGGUAAACACAACCCACCUUAAUUCGCGUUCCGAUUGCUUGUCGACACUUGCAAUCGGCCUCCCGCGGACCCGUAUCCGGCACGGCCCGAUACUGCAACUGCGCCUCAACCGUGCUCCGCUUCGCAGUCCCGAAAAUUAUAGGUCUUCGGUUAUGUGCCACGAUGCCUCAAAUCCAUUUCCAUGAUUUUACGACGUCGCCUCGGCCUUCCGGCGGACCCGAAGCCUAAACGUCUAUUUCUUUAAUAACUUUGUAACGGCUCGUCGGAUUGCCGAACCGUCUUCGC